Armigeres subalbatus is the source of this 642-nucleotide long non-coding RNA. RefSeq lists it as uncharacterized. The transcript is spliced from 4 exons. NCBI's taxonomy places the organism in Eukaryota, Metazoa, Arthropoda, Insecta, Diptera, Culicidae. The record is from RefSeq and is a predicted model, not a curated record.
UUAUGUUAUUUUGUGCAGUGUCAGUGUCUGUGGCACAACCGGCAAAAAAAAACAAAACAUUAAAGUUUAUGUCCGCGAUGCGCGCAGCAUCAGAGUUUUUAAAUUUCAUUUGCCGAAUAUUUGGGAAAGGCUGCCAUAAAUAAAAGGUAUCGCAAAAGAGCGAGCCACGAUCGACGUGACACUAUCACUUCCGAGAACCCUGUCGGCCGUUUUCCCUCCCUGCAGCCGCUCUGCGGCAUAUACAGAAACCAAAAAUGCAAGGAAAAACAAAAGGCUUCGACGAGCUGGUCAGGCAAAAAAAGCAGAUCAGUUAGCCAAUGGAAUGGCCGCUGAAUUGGCUUGCAAAGAUUCAAUGGCUCAAGUCUGGCCAAAUUCCGGAUCCCCGGAACAAAUAUCUAUAGCGUUGGAUGAACGAAGCUAUUUAAUCAUGGGUCAAAACCUGUCAGCAUCGGGUCGAGAGAGAGAGGCCAGCGAGGUAUGCUCCCGGAAGAUGUUACAAGGUUAAAAAUGCCAACGUUUGUGUUAAGAGUAUUUUUGAUUAUAUUUAUUUUUAUAAAAAAAUUAUACUUCCGUUAAUUAUGAUAUAAUAAAUGGAUUUUAAAAUCUCUUGAUUUAAUUAAUUAAAUAAAAUAAACUACGAAU